Molecule: long non-coding RNA, 8721 nt
Organism: Dromaius novaehollandiae (emu)
Lineage: Eukaryota; Metazoa; Chordata; Aves; Casuariiformes; Dromaiidae
Exons: 3
Source: RefSeq, a predicted model, not a curated record
CUCCUCAUGUCUCUCCCGAGAGAGCCGUUUCCUUCCCCCUCGCUGCUUCGCAGUCCUGGCUGCAGAAGGCUGCUGCCUGCUCUGCAGGUGAAGGGUCUCCUUUUUUCGGCUGCUGGAAGUACUGCAGCUUUCAAUCGCAUUGCAGCUAGAUGCCCUGUUUCUUUAUUUCUGACAACUAGCCUGAUCCUUGAUUAGGUCUUAGCAUGAUGUAAAAUGUGGUCCCCAAAAUUGGAUUCCUAUCCUAUCUUUGAAAGAAAAUACAUUGCUGAAUGAAGAAAGACAAGUUAUUCCUGAGAUCUACCUUCUUCAAAAUAUCCUCUGCAUUUCUGAAAUCAUUUUAAAAUAAGAAUUAAAAUGCAUUCCAAUACUCGCUGGAGCUACACUCUGACAGCACGGGGAGCUUCAACGAGCAAAUGGGGGUUUCUAUCAGUCACAACCUCAGCAGUGUUGCAACAGUCCUGCUGUAAAACCCAGAUGCUAUCUUCAGUUCAUUUGAGCAGCAGGAAAAGAUUAUAACUGUCUGUGGAAGAGUAGCUUACCCUAAAUGGUUUAUCGAUCAGACAGGAGGUAUCAAUCACCCUGUGCUAGAUCCAUUUCUGGAAGCCGUAAUUUUGGAACAAAUUUUUUUGAUUAACCACAGAUAAAGCAGCACUGUUUCUUCUCUAGGGUAUGAAACUCGAUAGAUAACAUGUGGAGUAAUUUCAGGGCACAGUUCCAAGGGACCUUGGCUGCAUCAAGUGCAGGACAUUACUGAUGUGUUCUGGAAUUUGAUUUAGGGCAGGUUCUGGGAGAAUUUACCAAAGCUGAUGUCUGACAGCACACUGAGCCUGUGCAAAAGGAACAUGUGCCUCAUGUGUUCUGCUCCUUGGAUCAGCCAGUCUUGCCUUUGCCUGCUGAGCCUCCUAUUCCUCUUGUCCUCCUCUGCAUGUGACUCUCUCUGCUUUCUCAGGGUGAUUUAUUCUUUGAUGGUCACUGCCUGCAUGAAGCCCUGAUACAGCUGUUCUGGUUGUCCCUUCUUCUCAGAUACGGAGUGGGAGGAGGGAGAGAGGGAUGCUGAAAGUAGAGGAGUCUGUCUGUGUCUCCUUAUCCUGUUUUCCAAAAGUUGGAGUCUUUGAGCCCUUAAUACUAUCAGUUCCUAGGAAUUCCUCUCCUCUGAAUGAAUUGUAUUAUCCAGCCCAUGCAUGGGGAGGCUUUCGGGAGCAUCUUGCCUUUGAGCUUGUUAUUCCUGGAACUGCUCACGGCUAUAAAAAACCCAGUUUCUCAGUUUGCUGGUUGUUUUGGACCCACUCUGAUGGGCCUAAUUCUUUCCAUGAUCCUGUAAGAAGUUUCAGUACCUAACUCUGGGGGCAAUGUGCCCCAGCCUUAUUUUAUGGACUAUGAACUUUGUUCAGCAACACGUUGAAGAAUGUGAUUAAUUUUGAGUGUGUCUUAAAAUGAAUGCAUAUUUGAUGCUUUGAUGGAUAAAGGCCCAUGAAAGCAUAUAUUGGUUGUGGUUAGACCAGGUCUGGUCUACCCAUCUGCUGUAUUUAUUGCCCAGGUUUGGGUCGAUGCUCUUGUCUUGCCUCUGCUCACACGCUGAGGAAAGAUGUGUGUGCGUAUCAACCUGCCGCCUGCCUGCCUCUGCUGCACGAAGGUAACGGAGGCAUCACGGGUGCAUAGUGUGAAUGAUGAGAGAUCCUCAACUCUGGGACAAGCAGCAAAAGAUUAGAGGAGAUGCAACAGAUACCAGUGAGGGUAUUAGUGAUUAGUUUUUGCUUAUAAAUAAUUGAGAGACUGGGAAACGUGCAUCCUGGCUGUAUGGUUAAGUAAAGAAAAAAAUGUUAUCUUAUGGUUAAUAUGGAUGAAGCAGAAGUUUUUGUUAUUAACAUGAUCAGAAAAAUCAGAACUCAGUUUUUAGAACUUAAUAAGUUCUGUAAAGGACAACUCAUGUUUGUAGAGGACAGAACUCUCUUUAGCCAUAAAAAUUAUGUGGAGAAAAGAAAUUGAAUGAUACAGUUAUUACUGGGACAACUAAUUGCUUACUUCUGGUUGGAUAAGGCCUGUAAGUCUGAAUUCAAACUCCUUCAUUGAGGGAAACAUUUUUCAGAAACAUUUAGAGCUUCUUUUCUAAAACAAAGCUGUUAUAUAGAGAUUAUUUUUCUACCGUAUUAUACUUUUACUGCUGUACUGUUGCUUACUGUGAGCUGUUCAGCCUGUGCCUAUGUUAUCAGUAUUAAAAAAUGCACUAAAUUUUACAUCCUUUAUCCUUAGCCUGUCCCUCCCUCUCCCUAUCCCUUAAUCUCUGAUGGGGAAAAUUAAAAACAUAUAAGUAUAGUUUUUGAGAUGUCACAGUUGGCAGCUCAAGGAUUCAAGAGCAAAAGAUCUGAUAUAAAACUUAAGGAAGAAAGCAGCGACUGAAAAUAGUGACUCAGCCACACUGAGGACCAGCCUGUCCUGAGGUACCUCAGAGUCCUGCUCUGACCCACCUGGCUCUCUUUGCUGACCAGGCAAUGGUCUUAGCAUGUGUCUUAUCUGGGGUGGUGAACAUAAUAAUACGCAUUAAUGCUUAGUCUUGUACUGUUCUAGCUAUGUAGUUAAUUAUAUUAUUAAUUAAUAUCUAUUUUUAUACUCCUUUGUGCUGUUAUUGUCUGCAAAGAGUCUUUGCAAGGAAGAUAUGCAAAACUCAGAACUUGCCCAAGUGACCAGAGACGCAGGACAGCAGCAGCCAGAGCUGGUUUCAGGCUUGUGCGAGAGGAGGAUAGAUGAUCUGCCCAAGCUACCUAAUUUCACUGGCUGCUCUGAAGCAAGGUGCUUUGUGUGAGCACUCCUUGUCUGCCAGAUCUUCAGGAGGGACGAUAAACCCCAGCUGCUGAAGAUGGGGAGGGUGGGUAUCUUGAAACAGUUGCUACUUUUGCUGUUGUCAGCAUCAUAACUGUCUUACAAGCUGGUAAUUGGCCUCCUUCAUAGCUUUUACAAGAGUAACGUAGUUGGCUGUAAGUCAUACUUUUUCUUAUUUUAGGCUGAGUUUGUGUAUGCUAUUUGAUUCUAUUUUAAUUCAGUUUCUAGAUGCACUAAACUGCAGUGUGAAAGGACUUGGUUAAUCUGAACUAAAUGCCCAUCUGCAGACUUGUGGUGGGAAAAGGAUGUAUAAGUUAUAACUGCUGCAGCUGCAGUACUUUGGUUUAAGCUGGUAAGGAGGAACCACAAAAAGCAAUUGCUUAGAAGCACCUGCCAUGGUAUAAAAUGCCCAGAUGGAGAUCAUCACACUUAACAACUGGACUAUAGCAAGGGGGUUGUGUGAACACUUCUCAUCUGUUACAGCACAAAUUUAGUUGGCUUUGCUUAAGUUUCCCAUCAUCAGUCUUUGAAGUUUAGCUGAAGGCUGUUUAAGCGAGGGUGUCCUUGCAGCGAAGCAGAUGAGAAAUAUUCACCUAAUCUGCUGUGACAGGUCAGGAGGUGCUAGGUUGGGACUGGCUCAGGGUAUUAUGUCCUCAACUGUUUUAUCUAACUCCGUAGAAGGAUAUUCGACUGAUCUUUUUGCACUCAGAAAAUCAUUGUCUUUGUAUUAUUGAGUACAGAAGUAUGUUUUAAUUGUAGCUGGACUUGUGUAAUGUAUGUGUCUAGACAAAGCUAUCAAAUAUUCAGUUUUUUAAAAUUGUUACAAAUACCCUUAGCUCAUAUACAGAACUACACAGUGUACACAGUUUUACAGCCAUUUGUGGUUAAAAGGUCUCCACAUGCGAGUUUUAUGCAUUUAAUGUAAUGGAUUGGUGAAAUGGUUUGUUGGUUGAUGCAGCAUUUGCUCAUCAUAAGUAAAGGGAACAAGAGUAUGAAUUUUACAGCUCAAAUAUUGAUGACAGUGAUGAUAAUUGAAUUGAAACAUAUUUUUGAAAGUUCAUAACUAUAUUGAGAAGAUGCCAUUUGUCUGAGCUGCAGCUGAUGGUCUGGAUAGGUCACCAUUUAAAAACUGACUUCACAAAGUAUUCAUUAAAUUCUUGAAGAAUUUGGUGAUUCUUUCCAGUAGCACUUCUGAGCUGUCCCAGCAGAAAAAUGCUGCAUCAGUCAACCUGCAGCUUCACAGAAAAGCUUAAAGCCCAAAAAUGACUUGCUUGUAACAUGAUCUAAUAGCUAAACAUUUUUGUUUUUAAAUCAAAGCCAUUUUGAUAAAAUAAGAAACUCUUUUUUCCUUCUUAAAAGUGUGGAAAUGGAAAAGGAUUGAAAGUGAAAUCCCAGCCGUAGUGGUGAGGCUUUAUGAUACAGAUGUCGAACGCUGCUCUCAAAAAUCAGCUCGUUGCCUCGUAAAACCGUAAUGGGGGAUUAUUGUCUUUUACACCGAAAAAGCAAGCUGUUAUCUACAAUGCUGCUUUCCACAUUGUUGCUCCAGCUAAUGUUUUACUAAGUGCUAAAACAACUUUUACAGAUAUGCAGCCGUUCUCUAAAUCCCCAGUCUUGCAGAUAUUUUGUAUAUGUUUAACCUUAGGCGCACGAGGAACUGAUUUUAAUAGCUUGAAGACGAGCAAUUUAUGUUAUGUAAACAUUUUUACAGUUUUUCAGUGGGGGUCUUAAGGGACUUCAGUAGAAACACUGGUUUAUUGAAACAGAUGAAGAAUUCUGCUUUCAUCACGAUAAGAUCUUGUAAGAGUCGCGCGUCUGUCAGAAAUAGUGACACAAGCUGCACUGUAUUGGAACCUGUGCCAGCCAUUUCUUGUUAUAGUUUAAAUGAAGAAUGUUGCUUUUAUCAGAAAAACACACAUCUGUAGAACUGAAUGCCUUUUUUCCUCUUUGUGUUAUUUUACUUUGUUACAAUUUUGUUUGAUAUUUUAAUCUUUUUAUUCUCUCUGACAGUGGCUGUUCUUGAAACUUUCUCUUCAUGUACCUUACCAAUGUGCCAGUGUGCCUUACUCAUUUCUUCAUACCUAGGAUGCCUUGCUGAAGCGAGUUACACAUGUGAAUCACGCAGGAUAUAAAGUAAAAGUUGGAGCUCCUUUGGAGAGUAGGCUACAAAUAGCAGCAAGUUAGAGCUGGAUUCUCUGCAUUACGUAUCUUAACACCCUUGUAGGAUUUUCUCUUCUGCUUUUUCUUUAACAAACAUUUAAACAUAAAUCAAUUAUUUUUAAAUCUGUAAGUGUUGGAUCAAGAGGGAAUGUCCCCAUCAUUGGCUGAAUUUAUUGCUGGUUGCAGUUAUUUAGCUUUGGAUUUACCAAGGUUUAUGGCAGUGAUUCAGACUUCAAGAAGACGUAUGGAGGGGUCAGUAAGAUAUUAGAGAAUUAUGUUUUUCUUUGUUAGGUUUCCUGGGCAUUCAAUAGGAAAUUAAUGUCAGGUAUCUAGAUUUCACUUUGCUGUUUUAUCUCAAGAAUAGGAAUUUGGAGCCCGCUGCCACAGUAACAAGUUAUUGUGCUGGCCUGUCCUUUUGCAGUCUUUUCUCUGAAGACCUCACUGACUCGCUUGAAGAUCAAGCCAUAAAAGAGAGAGAGAGACAAAAUCCAGAGUAACUGUCUGCAUUAAAAUGGGAGCUUUACCACAGCUAUUACUGAAGUGACUGGAUGAAGGGCAGUGUAAAUAACUGUACUCCCUAGGAUGGAAACUAAAUAAGAGAUUUAGUCAUCACUGGAGUUGCGUGUGGAUCAAGAAAAUAAGGUUUAGAGGAGCGAGGCGAGUCCCCCUUUCUGCAGGCUCACUUAGCCAUGUAUGGCAAGUGUUUUGGUCCGGUGUCCUGCGGUGCUGUGGACAUUCCCGGCACGGAGACUGGAAGGAGGCGCACAGCUGGGCGGGCUGGGCAUGGGACGGGAUCUCUCGGCCUCGCCAAGGCGGCAGUAAAGCAAGCAUGCAUAUGCAAUGGCUUGUAGGUAAUUCCCUUUUUCUAACAUGGCCUGGGAAGAGAUACCUUCCCCCAAAGGUGGAGGGGAAUCUUUCCUCUAUCCCCGGCAAGUGCUGAGGGGCUGGAUUAGCCAUGGCAGUGGGACUGGCUGGGGCCGAAUGGCCCCGGCGCGGAGGGCUUCCUCUCCUGGGCUCCUGCCCCAGCAACCUGACUGUCACAGAAAUACCCUGUUUCCCUUGGCAACCCUUUCCAGGGCCAAAUUCAUUUCGGUUCUCAGCUUCCUCUUUCCCUUGGUCCUCUCCAUACCUCAGCCUCUCUUGAAUUCAGACGUGAGUCCUUAUUUUAAAAUAUUGCUAGACUGUGUAAUAAGAAGGUUUUGAGACCCGUUUUUUCUUCUAUUCCCAGUUUAUACAUGGAUUUAGCAGAAUCAAGGCCAGAAUGACUAAUUGAGUGAUGAUGGAAGAAUAAAAAAGUAAUCUGAAGCUUUCAAAAUGAUUCUGUGUAAGGAUUUUGUUGAUACCAUGAAUUUACUAUAACAUUUCUUCUUCUCGCUUUCUUGACCAGUGUUGUUAAGCCAUACUGAAAAUUCAUUUUAAAAUAUGUACUCGUUUUCUUCCAAUACUUCAAGUUUUUCCCGAGACAGAGUUUCCAUGGAUUUAAGUGGUAAUUUUGCUUGAGCAAAGAAUACUGGCAGAGUUCUUUAUUUCCUUAUUUUUAGUGAUUACAGUUGUUCAAAAUCUCAUUGUUUUGUUCAGUUCCUGUGAAAUUUGUUGAUUGCUCUCUUCUAUAACUUACUCAGAGAUUCUUUUCCCUUGUUUGCAUAGGUUUAUGAGCACACUAUUGCUUUUAUUCUUUGAGAGAGAUACUAUUUUAAUCUAUCUUGACUGCUGUCUAGACUUCUAGUCUGUGGUGAUAAAUAUAUUCUGCCAAUUUUCCAUGUGCAGUCUGAUAUUUCACUUUAACUUAUUUCUCACUUACUUUAAGGAUAUUAUUGUUACAUUAUGCAAGAUAAACUAGUUUUAUUGGUAAAGUACUCAGCUGAUAGGAGCUAGCAUAAUGUUUGAGGCUUUUUUAGUAUCAGUCUUUGAAAAUGUUGCCCUGCACAAAAAGCUUGUGGAGUGCAACAAAGGGAGGAUGUGUAAUGAAAGAUCAGCUCUGGUGGUGUCUUAAAUUUAGCAGCACGCUCUGGACUUCAAGGAAUCCUUUUCUGCAGGGAUCCAAAGGACAGGGCUCGUGUCUGAAAGCCUUAGUCAUGAUGCUUUUGCAGGUCUUAAUUCAUUUAAAAAAAAAACAAACCCAAACCAAAAAACCCACUAUGGUCAGCUGUGUGCCUCCGUUUAUGUGAUCCCAUCCUGGGCUCCCAGACUGAGUUAUGUGUUUGCCAGCUGUUUAAAAAUGGUAUGUAAGCACUGCUUGAACUGCCGACUUGCUGCCUCUUCUGAGCAUGUAUAGCAUGUCCUGCUACUGAAAGCAUACUUAAGCAUGCUGCCAAACAACUAAUAGAAAAAUAAGAAGCCUAGCUUCAGGUCUUUUGACUAAAGGUAAUUGAACCAACCUUCCAGGAGAAUGUCCUAAGGAAGUUAGUUUUUUCUUAAAGAUGUGCUACUUUGCAGAAAAGAAUUUGAGAUUCAUGGAGCAAAGAAACAUGGCUUAGUAUGUUAUCAUGUUAGUUAUUAUUAUAACUUAGUGGUUAAGGUGUCACUUUGUAGAGGAGGAGACCCAGGCACAGGUCACUGCUCCUAAAACCUUCUCUGCUUUGCUCAGUUUAAGUUUCUUUCUGAAACUCUUCAUUGUUAAUAAACUCACAUAUCCUUUUAAUUUCCCAAUCCAGUCAGGAACUUCCCAGAUUCUUUGAAUUAUUGCAGUUUUGUAAGGGUCACAGUUAUUCACAGACUGGGGUCGAAUGUAAUGAAUAGUUUCAUUCAGAGUGUCUGGGGAAAGAAACUCUACUUGAUAUGUGUCAAAAUGUUUCAGUAUUUAUUGGUUUUGAAAAUGACAUAUUCUUUGAAUAAUUGAAAAGGUUAAUAGAAGGGUUAAAUGCAAGGAAAAGUUACACUUUGAACAACUAAAUGUUUUGAUCCACCUCAAAAUAAUUUGGUAUUUUGUUUAUUUUCAGACUGAUCUUGCAAACAUUUUUUUCCCUUUGGUUUAGCCAAUGAACCAGAAAAUCAAUUAUUUUUGUAACUUUGGUUUAUUCCAGUAUCGCCAACUUUAAAACCUGAAAAUCCUCUAUUAGCAUAGCAUUAAUAUAUGUGUGGAGUUUGAUAGUCUUGUAUUGCUAGACUUUUUAAAAAUUAAUUUUAUUAAAUGUACAUUGCCAUGCAUUUCUGUUUAAAAGUCAUGGCUUCUGUUAAAUGUAAUUACUGUACUCUGCUAUUAUAGAGAAAGGCAGUCCUAUUAAAGUUAAUUACUUUUCCUAGUAAAAUUUACACAAUAAUGCCACAUGUUAAAAUAAUACUACUAUAUAAGGUUGGCAACUUUGCAAAAGCAGAUAUAAAGGAAUGGUGUGAGGUAGGGACAGUAAUAACUGAGAUAGUAUCUAAAGAAUGGUAUAUUCCAGCAUGGAUUACACAAAACAGGGAAAUUUGUAUUUUAUAUAAUUUCCUUCAAAAAUACAUCAAGUAGCUCUAAAUGUCUGAAUUUCUGUCUUUGCCAUCUCUGUGUAGAUAAGCUAGGUAACGGCUGAUUACAAAUUCUGAGCCAUCAGAAUUGUAUAUCAAAGCAAGGAAAUGAAGUCUUGGAAAUAAAAUGUUGCUCUGUUAAUUUUCUUCCAUUUAGCAUAAAACAUUUUUUAAUUGCAGGUCAUUUCACAUGAAGGGUGCUGUUGAACCUCUGAUUAUGAAUUUUAUACCCUUUUCUCCUAAAAUGUCUGUCAUCUAUGUUCAAAAGUUAAAUAAAGUAUUAGCAGAUAUAAUUAAAUGAGA